AUUGUGCUGCGCUUCAGGUAUUUGCUUCUGGUCACUCAAUCUCAACUUAGAUGUCAGAGGUUAGCAAACCUUCUUGGACCAUGCAACUUAAUUUACUCAGUCACUCCCUGGAAGUCAAUAAUGCUAAACCUGAGAAGCAAAUGAAAACAGUGCGGAAGAUGUGAUAACAAAGCAGACCCCAGCGCCAUUCCAGAGCAGAAACACAAGCAAAGAGAUGCCAAACAGUGCUAUGGAGUAGCGUGGGCACAUUCCAAUGCUCUUUGAAGAACAUUACAAGAAUUUUCUGACCUAAGGUUCAUCUAGUACACGUAUGAAGCAAGAAUGCUGAGCUUGCUAUCCUACUGUGCUUCCCAUCCGCACAGAGCUGCAGGACCAUGCACAAAUAAUGACCUCAGCAGUGACUUUUCUGAAAUAUUAAGAGCACUAUUGCGGUGACAAACUUUCUCAUGAAGCAUUCAAUUUGAAGUUUCAAAUACUUCAGAAACAAAUCCAGCAUCUCCUGUGUCUCAAUUCAUUGCUGGAAAACAAUAUAUUUGUAUAAGCAUCAGUCCUGUGUUCUAAGAAUUUAUCUUGAUAUAUUAUUCUAUGGAGAGUUAUUAAUUCUCUGAAAAUAUGGUUUUUCACUUAAAACCUUGAAAAUCUUAAAAUCUGAACAGAAGUUCCUCCCUUUACUUCCUUAUGAUUUUAAUUCUCAUCUCACCAUGUUGGAAUUCAGAAAGUAAAACCCAAAUAAAAAACCC
Chinchilla lanigera (long-tailed chinchilla) is the source of this 740-nucleotide long non-coding RNA. RefSeq lists it as uncharacterized. The record is from RefSeq and is a predicted model, not a curated record. The transcript is spliced from 4 exons. Lineage: Eukaryota; Metazoa; Chordata; Mammalia; Rodentia; Chinchillidae.